This 65-nucleotide transfer RNA is filed under the name Marmota monax (woodchuck). RNAcentral's name for it is "tRNA.Ala". The record is from RNAcentral. Lineage: Eukaryota; Metazoa; Chordata; Mammalia; Rodentia; Sciuridae.
UGUUGCUUAGUGGUAGAGCACUUGCCUAGCAUGCACGAGGCCCUGGCUUCAACCCUCAGUAGCAG